UACGUAGGGUGCGAGCGUUGUCCGGAAUUAUUGGGCGUAAAGCGUGCGCAGGCGGCUUCGCAAGUCAGGCGUGAAAUCCCCGGGCUUAACCUGGGAAUGGCGUCUGAAACUACGGAGCUGGAGUGUGGCAGAGGGAGGUAGAAUUCCACGUGUAGCGGUGAAAUGCGUAGAUAUGUGGAGGAAUACCGAUGGCGAAGGCAGCCUCCUGGGCCAACACUGACGCUCAUGCACGAAAGCGUGGGGAGCAAACAGG
RNAcentral lists this ribosomal RNA (253 nucleotides) under uncultured bacterium. Its description in RNAcentral is "partial 16S ribosomal RNA". It matches the Rfam family "Bacterial small subunit ribosomal RNA", at positions 524 to 776 of the family's 1533-position model. The record is from RNAcentral.